CUCUAGCCCCGAUGGCAGCGGCAUCCUUUGCUUUUUUACAGAAAAAGCAAAGAUAUAGCGGACAGCGGGACUUUGA
Molecule: small RNA, 76 nt
Filed under: Flavobacterium sp. 9R
Lineage: Bacteria; Pseudomonadati; Bacteroidota; Flavobacteriia; Flavobacteriales; Flavobacteriaceae
Description: Flavo-1
Rfam family: Flavo-1 RNA
Source: RNAcentral